RNAcentral lists this ribosomal RNA (492 nucleotides) under uncultured bacterium. Its description in RNAcentral is "partial 16S ribosomal RNA". It matches the Rfam family "Bacterial small subunit ribosomal RNA", at positions 29 to 507 of the family's 1533-position model. The record is from RNAcentral.
AGUGAACGCUGGCGGUAGGCCUAACACAUGCAAGUCGAACGGGAGCACAUUAUUGCAUUGCUCUUACGGGGCGGAAGUGUGGGACGCGUGUGGGAUACAUGCGCAGCUGCCUUGUCGUGCGGGCGAACGCGGGUAAACUUACCCUGAUACGGCAUACGGCCUCCUGGUGAAAGCGGUGGAUCUUCGUACUUUGCGCGAGCGAUUGAGCCUAUGUCUGAUUAGCUAGUUGGCGGGGUAAAGGCGCACCAAGGCGACGAUCCGUAGCUGGUCUGAGAGGAAGAUCAGCCAGACCGGAACUGAGACACGGUCACGACUCCUACGGGAGGCAGCAGUGGGGAAUAUUGGACGAUGGGCGCAAGACUGAUCCAGCAAUACCGCGUGGGUGAAGAAGGCCUUCGGGUUGUACAGCCAUUUUGUUGGGAAAGAAAAGCAGCAGGUUAAUACCCCGCUGUUAUGACGGUACCCACAGAAUAAGCACCGGCUAACUUCGUG